GAUGAACGCUGGCGGCGUGCCUAAUACAUGCAAGUCGAGCGAACGGACGAGACGCUUGCUUCUCUGAUGUUAGCGGCGGACGGGUGAGUAACACGUGUAUAACCUCCCUAUAUUACUGGGAUAACUUCGGGACACCGGAGCUAAUACCGUAUAAUCUUUUGAACCGCAUGGUUCAAAAGUGAAAUACGGUCUUGCUGUCACUUCUAGCUGGAUCCGCGCUGCAUUAGCUAGUUGGUAAGGUAACGGCUUACCAAGGCAACGAUGCAUAGACGACCUGAGAGGGUGAUAGGCCACACGGGAACUGAGACACGGUCCAGACUACUACGGGAGGCAGCAGAAGGGAAUGUGACGCAAUGGGCGAAAGCAUGACGGAGCAACGCCGAGUGAGUGACGAAGGUCUUCGGAUCGUAAAACUCUGUUAUGAGGGAAGAACAGAUGUGGAAGGAAAUGUGCACAGAGUGACGGUACCUAAUAAGAAAGCAACGGCUAACUACGUG
Molecule: ribosomal RNA, 497 nt
Filed under: uncultured bacterium
Lineage: Bacteria
Description: partial 16S ribosomal RNA
Rfam family: Bacterial small subunit ribosomal RNA
Source: RNAcentral